Molecule: ribosomal RNA, 496 nt
Filed under: uncultured bacterium
Lineage: Bacteria
Description: partial 16S ribosomal RNA
Rfam family: Bacterial small subunit ribosomal RNA
Source: RNAcentral
AUGCACGCUGGCGGCGUGCCUAAUACAUGCAGGUCGAGCGAACGGACGAGAAGCUUGCUUCUCUGAUGUUAGCGGCGGACGGGUGAGUAACACGUGGAUAACCUACCUAUAAGACUGGGAUAACUUCGGGAAACCGUAGCUAAUACCGGAUAAUAUUUUGAACCGCAUGGUUCAAAAGUGAAAGACGGUCUUGCUGUCACUUAUAGAUGGAUCCGCGCUGCAUUAGCUAGUUGGUAAGGUAACGGCUUACCAAGGCAACGAUGCAUAGCCGACCUGAGAGGGUGAUCGGCCACACUGGAACUGAGACACGGUCCAGACUCCUACGGGAGGCAGCAGUAGGGAAUCUUCCGCAAUGGGCGAAAGCCUGACGGAGCAACGCCGCGUGAGUGAUGAAGGUCUUCGGAUCGUAAAACUCUGUUAUUAGGGAAGAACAUAUGUGUAAGUAACUGUGCACAUCUUGACGGUACCUAAUCAGAAAGCCACGGCUAACUACGUG